GAUGAACGCUGGCGGCGUGCUUAACACAUGCAAGUCGAACGGAAAGGCCCAAGCUUGCUUGGGUACUCGAGUGGCGAACGGGUGAGUAACACGUGGGUGAUCUGCCCUGCACUUCGGGAUAAGCCUGGGAAACUGGGUCUAAUACCGGAUAGGACGAUGGUUUGGAUGCCAUUGUGGAAAGUUUUUUCGGUGUGGGAUGAGCUCGCGGCCUAUCAGCUUGUUGGUGGGGUAAUGGCCUACCAAGGCGUCGACGGGUAGCCGGCCUGAGAGGGUGUACGGCCACAUUGGGACUGAGAUACGGCCCAGACUCCUACGGGAGGCAGCAGUGGGGAAUAUUGCACAAUGGGCGCAAGCCUGAUGCAGCGACGCCGCGUGGGGGGUGACGGCCUUCGGGUUGUAAACUCCUAUCGCUAGGGACGAAGCGUUUUUGUGACGGUACCUGGAGAAGAAGCACCGGCUAACUACGUG
Molecule: ribosomal RNA, 468 nt
Filed under: uncultured bacterium
Lineage: Bacteria
Description: partial 16S ribosomal RNA
Rfam family: Bacterial small subunit ribosomal RNA
Source: RNAcentral